RNAcentral lists this ribosomal RNA (164 nucleotides) under uncultured bacterium. RNAcentral describes it as "partial 16S ribosomal RNA". It matches the Rfam family "Bacterial small subunit ribosomal RNA", at positions 355 to 511 of the family's 1533-position model. The record is from RNAcentral.
UAGGGAAUCUUCCACAAUGGGNGGAAGCCUGAUGGAGCAACGCCGCGUGUGUGAUGAAGGGUUUCGGCUCGUAAAACACUGUUGUAAGAGAAGAAUGACAUUGAGAGUAACUGUUCAAUGUGUGACGGUAUCUUACCAGAAAGGAACGGCUAAAUACGUGCCCG